ACUUUCCUAGUAUAAUUAGUACAGCUGACUUCCAAUCACCCAGCCUCAGUCAAAUCUGAGGGAAAGUA
This 68-nucleotide transfer RNA is filed under the name Leptosciurus otinus. RNAcentral describes it as "tRNA-Gly". The record is from RNAcentral. Lineage: Eukaryota; Metazoa; Chordata; Mammalia; Rodentia; Sciuridae.